Molecule: small nuclear RNA, 106 nt
Organism: Aotus nancymaae (Ma's night monkey)
Lineage: Eukaryota; Metazoa; Chordata; Mammalia; Primates; Aotidae
Source: Ensembl
GUGCUCGCCUCGGCAGCACAUCCACUAAGAUUGGAAUGAUACAGAGAGAUUAGCAGGGCCCCUGCGCAAGGAUGACAUGCAAAUUCAUGAAGCGUUCCAUAUUUUG